This 253-nucleotide ribosomal RNA is filed under the name uncultured bacterium. Its description in RNAcentral is "partial 16S ribosomal RNA". It matches the Rfam family "Bacterial small subunit ribosomal RNA", at positions 524 to 776 of the family's 1533-position model. The record is from RNAcentral.
UACGUAGGGUGCAAGCGUUGUCCGGAAUUAUUGGGCGUAAAGAGCUCGUAGGCGGUCUGUCGCGUCGGCUGUGGAAUCUCGGGGCUCAACCCCGAGCCUGCAGUCGAUACGGGCAGACUAGAGUGCUGUAGGGGAGACUGGAAUUCCUGGUGUAGCGGUGAAAUGCGCAGAUAUCAGGAGGAACACCGGUGGCGAAGGCGGGUCUCUGGGCAGUAACUGACGCUGAGGAGCGAAAGCGUGGGGAGCAAACAGG